RNAcentral lists this ribosomal RNA (483 nucleotides) under uncultured bacterium. Its description in RNAcentral is "partial 16S ribosomal RNA". It matches the Rfam family "Bacterial small subunit ribosomal RNA", at positions 30 to 506 of the family's 1533-position model. The record is from RNAcentral.
AUUGAACGCUGGCGGCAGGCCUAACACAUGCAAGUCGAGCGGAUGAAGGGAGCUUGCUCCUGGAUUCAGCGGCGGACGGGUGAGUAAUGCCUAGGAAUCUGCCUGGUAGUGGGGGAUAACGUCCGGAAACGGGCGCUAAUACCGUAUACGUCCUGAGGGAGAAAGUGGGGGAUCUUCGGACCUCACGCUAUCAGAUGAGCCUAGGUCGGAUUAGCUAGUUGGUGGGGUAAAGGCCUACCAAGGCGACGAUCCGUAACUGGUCUGAGAGGAUGAUCAGUCACACUGGAACUGGAAACCGGGCCAGACUCCUAGGGGGGGAAGCGGUGGGGAAUUUUGGAAAAGGGGGGAAAGCCUGAUCCAGCCCUGCCGGGUGGGGGAAGAAGGUCUUCGGAUUGUAAAGCACUUUAAGUUGGGAGGAAGGGCAGUAAGUUAAUACCUGGCUGUUUUGACGUUACCAAAAGAAUAAGCACCGGCUAACUUCGU